GUGGGGAAUUUUGGACAAUGGGCGAAAGCCUGAUCCAGCAAUGCCGCGUGUGUGAAGAAGGCCUUCGGGUUGUAAAGCACUUUUGGCAGGGAAGAAACAGUGCGUGCUAAUACCAUGCGCGAAUGACGGUACCUGCAGAAUAAGCACCGGCUAACUACGUGCCAGCAGCCGCGGUAAUACGUAGGGUGCAAGCGUUAAUCGGAAUUACUGGGCGUAAAGCGUGCGCAGGCGGCUUUGUAAGACGGAUGUGAAAGCCCCGGGCUCAACCUGGGAAGUGCAUGCGUGACUGCAAGGCUAGAGUGUGUCAGAGAGAGGUGGAAUUCCGCGUGUAGCAGUGAAAUGCGUAGAGAUGCGGAGGAACACCGAUGGCGAAGGCAGCCUCCUGGGAUAACACUGACGCUCAGGCACGAAAGCGUGGGGAGCAAACAGGAUUAGAAACCCGGGUAGUCC
RNAcentral lists this ribosomal RNA (450 nucleotides) under uncultured bacterium. RNAcentral's name for it is "bacterial SSU rRNA". It matches the Rfam family "Bacterial small subunit ribosomal RNA", at positions 354 to 796 of the family's 1533-position model. The record is from RNAcentral.